RNAcentral lists this ribosomal RNA (210 nucleotides) under Salmonella enterica subsp. enterica serovar Pullorum. Its description in RNAcentral is "partial 16S ribosomal RNA". It matches the Rfam family "Bacterial small subunit ribosomal RNA", at positions 1336 to 1533 of the family's 1533-position model. The record is from RNAcentral. Lineage: Bacteria; Pseudomonadati; Pseudomonadota; Gammaproteobacteria; Enterobacterales; Enterobacteriaceae. RNAcentral also lists the same sequence under 1 other name.
UAGUAAUCGUGGAUCAGAAUGCCACGGUGAAUACGUUCCCGGGCCUUGUACACACCGCCCGUCACACCAUGGGAGUGGGUUGCAAAAGAAGUAGGUAGCUUAACCUUCGGGAGGGCGCUUACCACUUUGUGAUUCAUGACUGGGGUGAAGUCGUAACAAGGUAACCGUAGGGGAACCUGCGGUUGGAUCACCUCCUUACCUGAAAGAAGC